RNAcentral lists this ribosomal RNA (464 nucleotides) under uncultured bacterium. RNAcentral's name for it is "SSU rRNA". It matches the Rfam family "Bacterial small subunit ribosomal RNA", at positions 26 to 523 of the family's 1533-position model. The record is from RNAcentral.
AGAAUCAACGCUGGCGGCGUGCCUAACACAUGCAAGUCGCACGAGAAAGGGACUUCGGUCCUGAGUACAGUGGCGCACGGGUGAGUAACACGUGAAUAAUCUACCUCCGAGUGGGAAAUAACUGAGAGAAAUCUUAGCUAAUACCGCAUAACACUUACGAGUCAAAGCAGCAAUGCGCUUGGAGAGGAGUUCGCGGCAGAUUAGUUAGUUGGCGGGGUAAUGGCCCACCAAGACGAUGAUCUGUAUCCGGCCUGAGAGGGCGCACGGACACACUGGAACUGAAACACGGUCCAGACUCCUACGGGAGGCAGCAGUGGGGAAUUUUGCGCAAUGGGGGAAACCCUGACGCAGCAACGCCGCGUGGAGGAUGAAAUAUCUUGGUAUGUAAACUCCUUUCGAUGGGGAAGAUAAUGACGGUACCCAUAGAAGAAGCCCGGCUAACUUCGUGCCAGCAGCCGCGGUAA